CCCUGGUUAGCUCAGUUGGUAGAGCGCUCCACCUGUAAUGGAGAGGUAGCGGGUUCGAUACCCGGACCAGGCG
Ixodes scapularis (black-legged tick) is the source of this 73-nucleotide non-coding RNA. NCBI's taxonomy places the organism in Eukaryota, Metazoa, Arthropoda, Arachnida, Ixodida, Ixodidae. The record is from Rfam.